This 200-nucleotide long non-coding RNA is filed under the name Physcomitrium patens. RNAcentral's name for it is "long non-coding RNA (PPAT_LNC006618)". The record is from RNAcentral. Lineage: Eukaryota; Viridiplantae; Streptophyta; Bryopsida; Funariales; Funariaceae.
ACCUAAGAAGAACCAGUUUUAGGAUUACAAAUAUGUAAAUUAUAAUUCAAGGCAAUAUUGAUUUUGUAAAGAAGAAUGAAAGAUUAUGAGUGAUAAUCAUGAAGGAAAGGAUUAUCAAAGAAUAAAUCAACAAGCAAAAGAAUGAUAGGAGCGAUUAUACAUAAGAAAUCUCUUACAAGAACAACAAAAAGAAAUUGUAG